AGCAGCCGCGGUAAUUCCAGCUCCAAUAGCGUAUAUUAAAGUUGUUGCAGUUAAAAAGCUCGUAGUUGAAUUUCGGAAUCAAUUUAUUGGUCGUGCAAUAGUACGUACUGGUUUUAUUGGUUCCUCCCUUCUGAUGAACCAUGAUGUCAUUAAUUUGGUGUUAUGGGGAAUCAGGACUGUUACUUUGAAAAAUUAGAGUGUUUAAAGCAGGCUCACGCUUGAAUACAUUAGCAUGGAAUAAUGAAAUAGGACGUUUGAUUCUAUUUUGUUGGUUUCUAGGAUCGACGUAAUGAUUAAUAGGGAUAGUUGGGGGCAUCAGUAUUCAAUUGUCAGAGGUGAAAUUCUUGGAUUUAUUGAAGACUAACUACUGCGAAAGCAUUUGCCAAGGAUGUUUUCAUUAAUCAAGAACGAAAGUUAGGGGAUCGAAGACGAUCAGAUACCGUCGUAGUCUUAACCAUAAACUAUGCCGACUAGGGAUCGGAUGAUGUUAAUUUUUAAUGACUCAUUCGGCGCCUUAAC
Molecule: ribosomal RNA, 519 nt
Filed under: uncultured Glomus
Lineage: Eukaryota; Fungi; Glomeromycota; Glomeromycetes; Glomerales; Glomeraceae
Description: SSU rRNA
Rfam family: Eukaryotic small subunit ribosomal RNA
Source: RNAcentral